CUUGGUCUGUUUCAGCUCUGCAACGCUGGGUAGGGACGGAGGUGACGGGACUGAAGAGGUGCGAGAGGAGGGGAUGUCCCUGCGGCAUAGAGGCGGGCCUGAGGUUCGGCGACGCCGCUCGGGGUGCCCAGCUUCAGGCCCGGCAGAGGGACCGCCGUGUCCGCGUCCCGCCUCCUCUCCCGCCGCUACCGGCCCCGCCCCGCCCACAGAGUCCGAUGGCUGCGGCGGCGCUGAGGGACCCGCCUGAGGUCCCUGGCAGCAUUGUCUUCAGCUAACACACCAGGGACGACGUGUGUGUUCUUCCUGGGGUCUCUUGACUCUUCCCCACAGACCGAUGGAUUUAUUUCUGGGAUCACCUUUCAAUUCCAUUCAUCUCAGUAUAUAUCCUCAUGCCAGUUUCACCGUGUUUCACUUCCCAGGGGCUGUGUUCAGAACAUUUGAAAGUGGUUUUCAAACCAACUGCGUGAAUGCUUGGAGGCCUGCCAGGUGGUCUGCAGGUGUUAGACUCUUUUGGCUUUGGCCCAUGGUGCCCAAUGGUGUCUCCAGGGAUCAUUAUCUGCAUUUCAUCAGCAAGAAAGGAGAGUUGCUGUUGUUCCUCAUCCUCCGGUGAUGGGUAUCGUCAUUUCGGGAGGUUAGCAGGACUCAGAGAUUUAAAAGCUCAAAGCUUAUAUAAAAGGAAAAAUGCCGAAGAGAAGCUAGAAAAAGAGAUGUCACAAUGUAUGACAAAGGCACUAUUAAAAAAUCAAUAUGGGGACUUCCCUGGUGGCACAGUGGUUAAGAAUCCACCUGCCAAUGCAGGGGACACGGGUUCAAGCCCUGGUCCAGGAAGAUCGCACAUGCCGCGGAGCAACUAAGCCCAUGCACCACAACUACUGAGCCUGUGCUCUAGAGCCCGCGAGCCACAACUACUGAGCCCACGUGCCACAACUAUGGAAGCCUGCACGCCUAGAGCCCAUGCAUUGCAACGAAGAGUAGCACCUGCUUGCUGCAACUAGAGAAAGCCUGCACGCACCAAGACCCAACGCAACCAAAAAUUAAAAAAUUAAAAAAUCAUAUGUUCCUCUAUUAAAAAAAAAAUCAAUAUGGAAUCUGGGGAAGAAGAUUGAUUAAAAUGAGGCGUGUUCAAAGAAACAGACUGAUGCAGGGGGAGACAGAAGAGACCACAUGUAAAAGAGACACCGACAACACCCAAAGGGUGAAAAGAACAUAGCAAAUACUGAAGUGAGCCAGUCAUCAUUGUUGUCACCACUCUACCUGCUGUUCAUUCAGGCUCUGGGCUUUAGAAUAAACUGCUGCUCUCAUUGGUGUGUUUGAAGUACUAAUUGACCUAACAACAGUCCUUCAGUUGUUUCUUAAAUCAUUAGAGACUUGGCUAUAAAUAGGACAGUCACAGGACUCCUGGGGAGAAAUUAUUCUCUAAACACAGCGUGAGUCAUGAUUUCCUCAAGUUGCCAAGUUACCCACAAAGCUCAGGGCAAGACUCAGUUCAUGGACUGGAGACUCUAUCCUUUCUGAGACAGGCAAUGCCUGUCAGCCAAUACAGGGGAUAUGGGUUCGAGCCCUGGUCCGGGAAGAUCCCACAUACCACGGAGCAACUAAGCCUGUGCACCACAACUGCUAAGCCUGUGCUCUAGAACCCGCGAGCCACAACUACCGAGCCCACGUGCUUCAACUACUGAAACCCACACACCUAGGUCCCAUGCUUCGCAACAAGGGAAACCACCUUAAUGAGAGGCCUGUGCACCACCAUGAAGAGUAGCCCCCACUCGCCACAACUAAGAAGAAAGCCCACGUGCAGCAACGAAGACCCAACACAGCCAAAAAUAAAUAAAUAAAUUUAUUUUAAAAAAUAGUAAAAUAAAAAUGCUCCUUAAAAGCCACUACAUACAUAUUAUCAUCCACAGUUUGACUAACACCAAGGUUUUAACCUUAUGUGCUUCAUAAGAUUUAAAUACAAAAGAGUAAACUUCUAUCGAGUGACAACUUGGAUAUAUUUAUAUACAC
Long non-coding RNA from Eubalaena glacialis (North Atlantic right whale), 2004 nucleotides. RefSeq lists it as uncharacterized. The transcript has 4 exons. NCBI's taxonomy places the organism in Eukaryota, Metazoa, Chordata, Mammalia, Artiodactyla, Balaenidae. The record is from RefSeq and is a predicted model, not a curated record.